CCCUUAGAUGUUCUGGGCGGCCCGCGCACUACAUUGGCACUCUCAAUAAGUUCCUAGAUCUAAAACUUUGGGGUAUUCUAUUAAGUGGUGUCGUGACUGGGAUUAACCCUUGCAAUUAUUGGUUACGAACGAGGAAUUCCUUGUAAUCGCGGUUUAUCAGCCCGCGUUGAAUGCGUCCCUGUCCUUUGUACACACCGCCCGUCGCUCCUACCGAUGAAUCGUCCGGUGAAGUUCAUGGAGUGGUGGUUGUUCCAGCUGCUGUCGAAGUGAAAUGGACCUCACGAUUUAGAGGAAGGAGAAGUCGUAACA
RNAcentral lists this ribosomal RNA (309 nucleotides) under uncultured eukaryote. RNAcentral's name for it is "partial 18S ribosomal RNA". It matches the Rfam family "Eukaryotic small subunit ribosomal RNA", at positions 1470 to 1796 of the family's 1831-position model. The record is from RNAcentral.